AGGCAGUGCAGAAGAACAGUGCUUUAUUUGCAGGGCCUGAAUUUAAUAAAUGAAAACAUUUGGGCUGACCUCAGCACUGCUUACCCAAACAAGCAAGGGGCUGAGUUAAUCUUCCAUAAAGAGUACAAAUUUAUAGAAUAUCUUGAGGGUGGUAUUUAACUUUUGUCUGCAGUUUCAAGUCCUAGGGGGAUCUUCAGAGAAGUUUAUAAGCACUUGAGAAGAUACAUCCCGCCUCUGUAAACUUGACCUCUUCCAAACUUUGGACUGCCUUUGCUGCUGUACUGGUAUAAGCACAGGUCUUCAUUUGACUCCUGCCCUUAUCCCUAAAUCUUUCUCCUCCAGUUAAUUAGAGACUUUUUUCUGAAGGUCUCAGUGCCCGGUUUCUGGUGAUGGUUAGAGCUAUUCUGCCGAAGAUAGCUAUGUGCUGCAGACUCAGCUACUGGGCUCUGGGAUUCUCAAAGUGUCUUCAAGUUCUUGUCCAAGGGCAUUUUUAACUGUCCUGCGUCUUUAGGUCCUGAUCAGCUCUGAUGAAAUCCCAGCAAGAUUCAUUUUACUGAGGAAAUGCAACCACAAUCUCUCCAGCACUUGCAUCAUUGAGUGGCUGUAGUGCUCAGCAGCACCAGCAUCUUGAGGAGGCAGCAGCUGUGAGCAGCCAGCAUGUGGGAUGUGGAGCCAGGGACCCCUGUCUUGAGGGGCCGGAUCGGCGCUCCACCCUGGGGCCAGUGCCUCUGGGACAAGAAGGAUGUAGCAGUGAAAACUGUCCCGUCAGAACCAGUGGCACCAGUACAGCCCAACCAUGUCUUCGGAGAGCUACCAGCCAUCGGUGUAAGGGUGAAGAAGCAGAAGAAAAAGCAUGGAUGUGCUCAUGUGUAAAGACUUUUUGCCAAAGAUCUGGGCAACGUCUUUGUGCUUCUGGGCUCUUCAGAGCGAAGGUGAAGAGGAGGCACCGCAGUGACACACAUGCCUUCAGAGACCAAAAUGCAGCUUGCACGCUCUGUGUUGUGCACGUGGUUGUCUUUGACCACCUCGCAGGGCUCUGUCAGAGGGGCCAGCACAAGCUCGUGUCAUCUGUGGAUGCAGCGUGCCAUAGCCAGAGAAUUUGGUGUGAAGACCUCGCCAGCCCACAGAGGUGCCCAUGGUGGGAUUUUUGUUCCCUUCCAGCAGGACAAGCACCUGGGAUUCCUGGAUGCAUAGCUCUGUAUAUCUGUCUGCUUGCUACACCUUCCAGAAGUGCUCUUUGUACUAUACUGAUAUUGUUUAUGUUGAAUAAAUGCUUU
This is a long non-coding RNA of Athene cunicularia (burrowing owl), 1277 nucleotides long. RefSeq lists it as uncharacterized. The transcript is spliced from 3 exons. The record is from RefSeq and is a predicted model, not a curated record. Lineage: Eukaryota; Metazoa; Chordata; Aves; Strigiformes; Strigidae.